GACGAACGCUGGCGGCGUGCUUAACACAUGCAAGUCGAACGCUGAAGCUCAGCUUUUGUUGGGUGGAUGAGUGGCGAACGGGUGAGUAACACGUGAGUAACCUGCCCCCUUCUUUGGGAUAACGCCCGGAAACGGGUGCUAAUACUGGAUAUUCACUGGUCUUCGCAUGGGGGUUGGUGGAAAGGGUUUUUCUGGUGGGGGAUGGGCUCGCGGCCUAUCAGCUUGUUGGUGGGGUGAUGGCCUACCAAGGCUUUGACGGGUAGCCGGCCUGAGAGGGUGACCGGUCACAGUGGGACGGAGAUACGGCCCAGACUACUACGGGAGGAAGCAGUGGGGAAUAUUGCACAAUGGGCGCAAGCAUGAUGCAGCGACGCCGCGUGAGGGAUGGAGGCCGUCGGGUUGUGAACCUCUUUCGCUCAUGGUCAAGCCGCAACAAUGGUUGUGGUGAGGGUAGUGGGUAAAGAAGCGCCGGCUAACUACGUG
RNAcentral lists this ribosomal RNA (483 nucleotides) under uncultured bacterium. RNAcentral describes it as "partial 16S ribosomal RNA". It matches the Rfam family "Bacterial small subunit ribosomal RNA", at positions 28 to 507 of the family's 1533-position model. The record is from RNAcentral.